Molecule: ribosomal RNA, 804 nt
Filed under: Microbacterium sp. at3
Lineage: Bacteria; Bacillati; Actinomycetota; Actinomycetes; Micrococcales; Microbacteriaceae
Description: bacterial SSU rRNA
Rfam family: Bacterial small subunit ribosomal RNA
Source: RNAcentral
GUCGAACGGUGAAGCAGAGCUUGCUCUGUGGAUCAGUGGCGAACGGGUGAGUAACACGUGAGCAAUCUGCCCCUGACUCUGGGAUAAGCGCUGGAAACGGCGUCUAAUACCGGAUACGAGCUGCGACCGCAUGGUCGGCAGUUGGAAAGAAUUUCGGUCAGGGAUGAGCUCGCGGCCUAUCAGCUUGUUGGUGAGGUAAUGGCUCACCAAGGCGUCGACGGGUAGCCGGCCUGAGAGGGUGACCGGCCACACUGGGACUGAGACACGGCCCAGACUCCUACGGGAGGCAGCAGUGGGGAAUAUUGCACAAUGGGCGAAAGCCUGAUGCAGCAACGCCGCGUGAGGGAUGACGGCCUUCGGGUUGUAAACCUCUUUUAGCAGGGAAGAAGCGAAAGUGACGGUACCUGCAGAAAAAGCGCCGGCUAACUACGUGCCAGCAGCCGCGGUAAUACGUAGGGCGCAAGCGUUAUCCGGAAUUAUUGGGCGUAAAGAGCUCGUAGGCGGUCUGUCGCGUCUGCUGUGAAAACCCGAGGCUCAACCUCGGGCCUGCAGUGGGUACGGGCAGACUAGAGUGCGGUAGGGGAGAUUGGAAUUCCUGGUGUAGCGGUGGAAUGCGCAGAUAUCAGGAGGAACACCGAUGGCGAAGGCAGAUCUCUGGGCCGUAACUGACGCUGAGGAGCGAAAGGGUGGGGAGCAAACAGGCUUAGAUACCCUGGUAGUCCACCCCGUAAACGUUGGGAACUAGUUGUGGGGUCCAUUCCACGGAUUCCGUGACGCAGCUAACGCAUUAAGUUCCCCGCCUGG